This 433-nucleotide ribosomal RNA is filed under the name uncultured bacterium. Its description in RNAcentral is "bacterial SSU rRNA". It matches the Rfam family "Bacterial small subunit ribosomal RNA", at positions 29 to 507 of the family's 1533-position model. The record is from RNAcentral.
AACGAACGCUGGCGGCAUGCCUAACACAUGCAAGUCGAACGAAGCCUUCGGGCUUAGUGGCGCACGGGUGCGUAACGCGUGGGAACCUACCAUCAGGUUCGGAAUAACAGUUAGAAAUGACUGCUAAUACCGGAUAAUGUCUUCGGACCAAAGAUUUAUCGCCUUUUGAUGGGCCCGCGUUGGAUUAGCUAGUUGGUGGGGUAAAGGCCUACCAAGGCGACGAUCCAUAGCUGGUCUGAGAGGAUGAUCAGCCACACUGGGACUGGGACACGGCCCAGACUCCUACGGGAGGCAGCAGUGGGGAAUAUUGGACAAUGGGCGAAAGCCUGAUCCAGCAAUGCCGCGUGAGUGAUGAAGGCCUUAGGGUUGUAAAGCUCUUUUACCAGGGAUGAUAAUGACAGUACCUGGAGAAUAAGCUCCGGCUAACUCCGUG